RNAcentral lists this ribosomal RNA (313 nucleotides) under uncultured eukaryote. Its description in RNAcentral is "partial 18S ribosomal RNA". It matches the Rfam family "Eukaryotic small subunit ribosomal RNA", at positions 1470 to 1796 of the family's 1831-position model. The record is from RNAcentral.
CCCUUAGAUGUUCUGGGCCGCACGCGCGCUACACUGAUGCAUUCAACGAGUGUACCUUGGCCGAGAGGCCUGGGCAAUCUUUUGAACGUGCAUCGUGAUAGGGAUAGAUUAUUGCAAUUAUUAAUCUUGAACGAGGAAUUCCUAGUAAACGCAAGUCAUCAACUUGCAUUGAUUACGUCCCUGCCCUUUGUACACACCGCCCGUCGCACCUACCGAUUGAAUGGUCCGGUGAAGCCUCCGGAUUGGCGCGCACCUCGGUGCCGCCGAGAAGUUGGCUAAACCUUACCAUUUAGAGGAAGGUGAAGUCGUAACA